RNAcentral lists this long non-coding RNA (330 nucleotides) under Homo sapiens (human). RNAcentral describes it as "non-protein coding lnc-TBX5-4:1". The record is from RNAcentral. Lineage: Eukaryota; Metazoa; Chordata; Mammalia; Primates; Hominidae.
GAUGUACAUUCACCCGGACAGCCCCGCUACUGGGGAACAGUGGAUGUCCAAAGUCGUCACUUUCCACAAACUGAAACUCACCAACAACAUUUCAGACAAACAUGGAUUACUAUAUUGAACUCCAUGCACAAAUACCAGCCCCGGUUCCACAUUGUAAGAGCCAAUGACAUCUUGAAACUCCCUUAUAGUACAUUUCGGACAUACUUGUUCCCCGAAACUGAAUUCAUCGCUGUGACUGCAUACCAGAAUGAUAAAUAACCCAGUUAAAAAUAGACAACAACCCUUUUGCAAAAGGUUUCCGGGACACUGGAAAUGGCCGAAGAGAAAAAA